This 289-nucleotide ribosomal RNA is filed under the name uncultured Bacteroides sp. RNAcentral's name for it is "partial 16S ribosomal RNA". It matches the Rfam family "Bacterial small subunit ribosomal RNA", at positions 56 to 339 of the family's 1533-position model. The record is from RNAcentral. Lineage: Bacteria; Pseudomonadati; Bacteroidota; Bacteroidia; Bacteroidales; Bacteroidaceae.
UGCAAGUCGAGGGGCAGCGGGAUUGAAGCUUGCUUCAAUCGCCGGCGACCGGCGCACGGGUGAGUAACGCGUAUCCAACCUUCCGUACACUCAGGGAUAGCCUUUCGAAAGAAAGAUUAAUAUCCGAUAGCAUAUAUUUCCCGCAUGGGUUUAUAUUAAAGAAAUUCGGUAUGAGAUGGGGAUGCGUUCCAUUAGUUUGUUGGCGGGGUAACGGCCCACCUAGUCUUCGAUGGAUAGGGGUUCUGAGAGGAAGGUCCCCACAUUGGAACUGAGACACGGUCCAAACUCC